RNAcentral lists this ribosomal RNA (1396 nucleotides) under uncultured bacterium. RNAcentral describes it as "16S ribosomal RNA". It matches the Rfam family "Bacterial small subunit ribosomal RNA". The record is from RNAcentral.
UUAGAGUUUGAUCCUGGCUCAGGAUGAACGCUAGCGGGAGGCUUAACACAUGCAAGUCGAGGGGUAACAGAGGUAGCAAUACUUGCUGACGACCGGCGUACGGGUGAGUAACGCGUAUGCAACCUGCCCUAUACAGGAGGAUAGCCCGAAGAAAUUCGGAUUAAUACUCCAUGCAGCAUAUUUUUCGCAUGAUAAAUAUGUUAAAGAUUUAUCGGUAUAGGAUGGGCAUGCGUCCCAUUAGUUAGUUGGUGAGGUAAUGGCUCACCAAGGCUUCGGUGGGUAUGGGGUCUAAAAGGAUGGUCCCACACACUGGCACUGAGACACGGGCCAGACUCCUACGGGAGGCAGCAGUGAGGAAUAUUGGUCAAUGGGCGAAAGCCUGAACCAGCUAUGUAGCGUGAAGGAUGACUGCCCUAUGGGUUGUAAACUUCUUUUGUUCGGGAAUAACAGACUUCACUUGUGGAGUUUUGCAUGUACCGUUCGAAUAAGGAUCGGCUAACUCCGUGCCAGCAGCCGCGGUAAUACGGAGGAUCCUAGCGUUAUUCGGAUUUAUUGGGUUUAAAGGGAGCGUAGGCGGGGGGUCAAGUCAGCUGUGAAAUACGUACGCUUAACGUUCGUCUUGCAGUUGAAACUGGUUUUCUUGAGUGCGUAUGAGGCAGGCGGAAUUCGUGGUGUAGCGGUGAAAUGCUUAGAUAUCACGAGGAACUCCUAUUGCGAAGGCAGCUUGCUGGUCCGCUACUGACGCUGAUGCUCGAAGGUGCGGGUAUCGAACAGGAUUAGAUACCCUGGUAGUCCGCACAGUAAACUAUGGACACUCGCUGUCGGCGAUAUACUGUCGGGGGGUAAGCGAAAAGCAUUAAGUGUCCCACCCGGGGAGUACGUCGGCAACGAUGAAACUCAAAGGAAAAGACGGGGGCCCGCACAAGCGGAGGAACACGUGGUUUAAUUCGAUGAUACGCGAGGAACCUUACCCGGGUUUGAAUUGCUGAAUUUGCAUUUGGAGACAUUUGCUUCCCUCUUGGGUUUCAGUGAAGGUGGUGCAUGGUUGUCGUCAGCUCGUGCCGUGAGGUGUCGGCUUAAGUGCCAUAACGAGCGCAACCCCCGCCGUUAGUUGCCAUCGGGUCAUGCCGGGCACUCUAUUGGGACUGCCAUCGUAAGAUGUGAGGAAGGUGGGGAGGACGUCAAAUCAGCGCGGCCCUUAUGUCCGGGGCGACACACGUGUUACAAUGGGGGGUACAGCGGGUUGCUACCUGGUGACAGGGUGCUAAUCUUUAAAACCUCUCUCAGUUCGGAUCGGAGUGUGAAACUCGACUCCGUGAAGCUGGAUUCGCUAGUAAUCGCGCAUCAGCCACGGCGCGGCGAAUAAGGUCCCGGGCCUUGCACACACCGCCCGUCA